GACGAACGCUGGCGGCGUGCUUAACACAUGCAAGUCGAACGGAAAGGCCCUGCUUUUGUGGGGUGCUCGAGUGGCGAACGGGUGAGUAACACGUGAGUAACCUGCCCUUGACUUUGGGAUAACUUCAGGAAACUGGGGCUAAUACCGGAUAGGAGCUCCUGCUGCAUGGUGGGGGUCGGAAAGUUUCGGCGGUUGGGGAUGGACUCGCGGCUUAUCAGCUUGUUGGUGGGGUAGUGGCUUACCAAGGCUUUGACGGGUAGCCGGCCUGAGAGGGUGACCGGCCACAUUGGGACUGAGAUACGGACCAGACUCCUACGGGAGGCAGCAGUGGGGAAUAUUGCACAAUGGGCGGAAGCCUGAUGCAGCAACGCCGCGUGCGGGAUGACGGCCUUCGGGUUGUAAACCGCUUUCGCCUGUGACGAAGCGUGAGUGACGGUAAUGGGUAAAGAAGCACCGGCUAACUACGUG
RNAcentral lists this ribosomal RNA (468 nucleotides) under uncultured bacterium. RNAcentral's name for it is "partial 16S ribosomal RNA". It matches the Rfam family "Bacterial small subunit ribosomal RNA", at positions 28 to 507 of the family's 1533-position model. The record is from RNAcentral.